AAUAUUGCGCCAUGGAGGGAACUCUGACGCAGCGACGCCGCGUGAGCGACGAAGGUUUUCGGAUUGUAAAGCUCUGUCCUUGGGGGAGAAGGCGGCCUUUUAUGGACAUUUGACGGUACCCAAGGAGGAAGCCCCGGCUACCAACUUCCUAGCAGCCGCGGUAAUACGUAGGGGGCAAGCGUUGUCCGUAAUUAUUGGGCGUAAAGGCUGCGUAGGCGGCCUUUUAAGUCAGAUGUGAAAGACCACGGCAUAACCGUGGGGUUGCAUUUGAAACUGGAGGGCUUGAGUAUCGGAGAGGGUAGUGGAAUUCCCAGUGUAGCGGUGGAAUGCGUAGAUAUUGGGAGGAACACCAGUGGCGAAGGCGACUACCUGGACGAAAACUGACGCUGAGGCACGAAAGCUAGGGGAGCAAACA
Molecule: ribosomal RNA, 415 nt
Filed under: uncultured bacterium
Lineage: Bacteria
Description: partial 16S ribosomal RNA
Rfam family: Bacterial small subunit ribosomal RNA
Source: RNAcentral